CCCCUGUGAGCGCAAUCAGCGGU
Molecule: unclassified non-coding RNA, 23 nt
Filed under: Chlamydomonas reinhardtii
Lineage: Eukaryota; Viridiplantae; Chlorophyta; Chlorophyceae; Chlamydomonadales; Chlamydomonadaceae
Description: small RNA Cre_1055
Source: RNAcentral